UUCCUUUGCCAUUAAAAAGGCAAGGCAGCAAGUGCGCCUGCCUUGAGGAAAAACUGCUGUACAGCUCACUGCAUAAAUAUGCGUGUGCAUAUGUGGCAUAAUGGUCUGUGCAUAGGCAUGCACCUACAAAUAGGGAAGCAAACUCUUUGUUGCAAGAGCUGUGAACUUCCCUGAGUAAUUAACUGUGCUUUUAGUGCAUCUCCUUGGAUCUGCAGUGAGUAGCAGAGGCAAAGCCUCUUUUAAAUCUUCAAGUGUCAAACUCAGAGAUAGCAGCUAGCUAAGCUGAGGCACUAAGAGAAGCAGAAAUGUCACUGUAAUAGCUUGUGUCUCUUUGGUGCUGUUAAAAAAAAAAACAACUGUGCCAGUGGACAGAGUUAUCCACAGAGCAAAAAACUAAUUCUCAUGAGAUUAUUUGGCUUUGUGUACCCAAAGGCAUUUGAUGCAACUGUGUGUGUGGAUAGAUAGACACUGUUCUUCUGUUUUGGCGUGGUUACAUAAACGUGUGACAACGUAAUAUUUAGGGGAAAAGUAAUCCAUGCCUACCUUUGUUUCCUGUCCUGCUGUGAGCAUUUUGCAAGCCAGCAGGUGCGCUUGGACUGCUCCCCCAGUAGAGAGAGGUCCUGUAUGAAACCUGGCAGUACAUCCCAUAUGCCGUGAAUGUCUUCAAGUAGCAACGCAGGGAUGGCGACAACAAUGCUACUGAAAAGUUCUGCAGCAUGCAAACCACCGAACCCUGCAGCAAGAAGGCAGGAAAGUGGGAUAAGGCCCAUGUGACAGCUCCUCCUCUGCCCAGCUGCCAGGCACCAGGGCGAGCCUCUUCACCUGGACGGCUUUGAGAUGUUGCUGGAUUCAUACCUGCACAGAUACCAAAGUGCCCAGAAGAAACAGCUUCAUUCAGAUCAUUCACUUAAAACACUUUCUGAAUCCCAUUUGCGUGGGAAUGUCAAACUAAUUCGACUGUCCGGCAUUAAUCCACGUGGCUGUGAGGCUUGGGAUGUCCCACACAUCUGGGCUACAGGGCCUCAUGCACCAGGAGAUCUGUGCUCUCAAAGAAAUAAUCAAACAACAGGCUCCUCAUGACAGAGAGCUAACCUCUGAGCUUCUACCAAUCAACACACAAAAAAAUAAAUGCAUGAGAAUAAAGUUAUUUAGGAUAAGGGAAGCUAGUCCUUUGUUGGUUUGAUGUGUUACUUCAUGGGUGGCCAACCUUUUGGCUUGCCUGGGCCGCACUGAGUGAAGAGGAACUGUCUUGCUCUGCAGACACAUAAGCUGCUCCAAAAGUAAUGCCUCCUAUUUAUUUCCAUGGAAACUACAACAGAGACAAAGCACAAUAACACUGUUUGAUAGAGCAAAUUCUCAGCCACAAAACACUGUUUCUCAGCAUAGUCACCACCACUAGCCAUGCAUUUUCACCAGCAGUGAACAAGAACCCACACGCCGUGCUCAUAAGAAUCUAUACCAGUGGAGGUGACACCACCCACUGCUUGGUCUCCAGAAAUGGUCAGCAAGCACCAGUGCCACUGGCUGCCAUUUUCUUCUGCAUGGAAGAACCCAAU
Long non-coding RNA from Gallus gallus (chicken), 1556 nucleotides. NCBI's taxonomy places the organism in Eukaryota, Metazoa, Chordata, Aves, Galliformes, Phasianidae. The record is from Ensembl.